Molecule: long non-coding RNA, 494 nt
Filed under: Pan troglodytes (chimpanzee)
Lineage: Eukaryota; Metazoa; Chordata; Mammalia; Primates; Hominidae
Description: long non-coding RNA NONPTRT003971
Source: RNAcentral
AAGCAUGUUGGGCUCUCCAGGAGGGAGAAGAGGCACCUUUGCUGUGGGUUGAGGACUCCUAGAACCAACCUGAGACUCCGCGGCCAUAUACACCUUACGACGUGUGUGUGUGUGUGGCGGGGGAUGGGAGGGGAGGAAUCCUGUAGAACCCAGAUCCCAUCAUUCCAGCAACUGCCAGAGCGUUCGAGAAUGUCAUGUCUGUACCUGUCUUCUCUCAUCUUUUGUGCCAACUGUUUUAUCAAACUUCUACCCCACUUUAGGUCUUCCAGUAGAUACCUGAAACCCUGAACUACAAUAUAUGUGAAAUACAGUGAAUGGCAGAAAUACUUUGAUAAAAGAUGUAAAUGCCUACGGACUGCAGAAGACAACAUCAACAAAGCACACUUCACAAAAAGUACAACACAAAUAUACUGCCCAGGUUCUAAAACAUGUAUAAGAGUUAACAAAAUCAGCUGAGGUUGAGCAGAAAUUGUAUAGGAAAAAAUAGGAAAAAC